GAUGAAGAACGUAGUGAAAUGCGAUACUUGGUGUGAAUUGCAGAAUCCCGUGAACCAUCGAGUCUUUGAACGCAAGUUGCGCCCGAAGCCACUAGGCCGGGGCACGCCUGCCUGGGCGUCACACGCCGUUGCCCCCCCAUCUACUCCUUCGGGAUUGCGGGGGGGCGGAUGAUGGCCUCCUGUGCGCCUAGCCGCGCGGUUGGCAUAAAUACCAAGUCCUCGGCGACGCACGCCACGACAAUCGGUGGUUGCGAAACCUCGGUUGCCCGUCGUGUGCGUUCGUCGCGCAUCGAGGGCUCGAAAAAAUGCUCGGCUCCGACUGGGCUUUCAACGCGACCCCAGGUCAGGCGGGGUUACCCGCUGAAUUUAAGCAUAUCAAUAAGCGGAGGA
This 390-nucleotide unclassified non-coding RNA is filed under the name soil metagenome. RNAcentral describes it as "partial contains 5.8S ribosomal RNA, internal transcribed spacer 2, and large subunit ribosomal RNA". The stretch from base 1 to 121 matches the Rfam family "5.8S ribosomal RNA", at positions 35 to 154 of the family's 154-position model. The record is from RNAcentral.